Achroia grisella is the source of this 67-nucleotide non-coding RNA. The record is from the annotation of a RefSeq genome assembly. NCBI's taxonomy places the organism in Eukaryota, Metazoa, Arthropoda, Insecta, Lepidoptera, Pyralidae.
AGUUUUAUAGUCAAAAAAUGAUAUGAAAUUGCAAAUUUCAUGGUAUAAAGAAAAUUUAUUAAGGCUU